This 961-nucleotide ribosomal RNA is filed under the name uncultured bacterium. RNAcentral's name for it is "bacterial SSU rRNA". It matches the Rfam family "Bacterial small subunit ribosomal RNA", at positions 56 to 1015 of the family's 1533-position model. The record is from RNAcentral.
UGCAGUCGAGCGCGAAAGGCCUUCGGGCUGAGUAGAGCGGCGGACGGGUGAGUAACGCGUAGGAAUCUACCUGGUAGUGGGGGACAACUUGGGGAAACUCAAGCUAAUACCGCAUACGCCCCAAGGGGGAAAGCGGGGGACCUUCGGGCCUCGCGCUAUCAGAUGAGCCUGCGUAGGAUUAGCUAGUUGGUGAGGUAAAGGCUCACCAAGGCGACGAUCCUUAGCUGGUCUGAGAGGAUGAUCAGCCACACUGGGACUGAGACACGGCCCAGACUCCUACGGGAGGCAGCAGUGGGGAAUAUUGCGCAAUGGGGGCAACCCUGACGCAGCCAUGCCGCGUGUGUGAAGAAGGCCUUCGGGUUGUAAAGCACUUUCAAUGGGGAAGAAAAGCGUAGCGUUAAUAGCGUUGCGCCGUGACGUUACCCAUAGAAGAAGCACCGGCUAACUCCGUGCCAGCAGCCGCGGUAAUACGGAGGGUGCGAGCGUUAAUCGGAAUUACUGGGCGUAAAGCGCGCGUAGGCGGUUUGUUAAGUCAGCUGUGAAAGCCCCGGGCUCAACCUGGGAACUGCAGUUGAUACUGGCCACCUUAGAGUAAGAGAGAGGGAGGUAGAAUUCCAUGUGUAGCGGUGAAAUGCGUAGAUAUAUGGAGGAAUACCGGUGGCGAAGGCGGCCUCCUGGCUCGAUACUGACGCUGAGGUGCGAAAGCGUGGGGAUCAAACAGGAUUAGAUACCCUGGUAGUCCACGCCGUAAACGAUGUCUACUAGCCGUUGGGAGACUUGAUUUCUUAGUGGCGCAGCUAACGCAAUAAGUAGACCGCCUGGGGAGUACGGCCGCAAGGUUAAAACUCAAAUGAAUUGACGGGGGCCCGCACAAGCGGUGGAGCAUGUGGUUUAAUUCGAUGCAACGCGAAGAACCUUACCAGGUCUUGACAUCCAGAGAACUUUCCAGAGAUGGAUUGGU